GUCUAGUCCAAGUAUAGUGGUGUUUACAACUAAUUGAUCACAACCAGUUCCUUCUCCCCAGGCACUGCUUCACUUGACUAGCCUUAA
This is a Y RNA of Callithrix jacchus (white-tufted-ear marmoset), 87 nucleotides long. It matches the Rfam family "Y RNA". Rfam says of the family: Y RNAs are components of the Ro ribonucleoprotein particle (Ro RNP), in association with Ro60 and La proteins. The Y RNAs and Ro60 and La proteins are well conserved, but the function of the Ro RNP is not known. In humans the RNA component can be one of four small RNAs -- hY1, hY3, hY4 and hY5. Lineage: Eukaryota; Metazoa; Chordata; Mammalia; Primates; Cebidae. The record is from Ensembl.